CUCCUCCUUUCCCAAUCCCCAAGCUUAAACUGGAGGGGCUGUGCUUGGAGCCAGAUUCAUUAGGGCUGUGCCUUGCCUAUCCCUGUGAGGGCCCAGCCCAUCAGCCUCCUCCUCACUGUUUGCAGGUGCUCUCUACAGAGCACUGAGCAGCCCACCCUUUCACCAGGCUCACACCUGCACCCCUGUUCUCCACCAGCUGCCUCACUGCAGCCCCUGAGACAGCCAGGCCUUUCUAGGGCCCACACCUGGGCGUCUCCGCCGAGACCGACUUUCACGCCCACCUGGUCUUCCCCAAGACCCAGAGCCUUCAGAGGUUUCAUCAGAAUUCCCUCAGGAUGUGGGUUAUGAGUUGUCAUCCAAGCCCAGCAGGGGCCAGAGUGUAGGUGGGCCCAGAGGCUUCUGAGCUGGAGGUGAAAGGGGCUUGAAGGCCUCUGAGCGGAGCCGGGAACCCGCCCUCUGGGGACCUGGGAGCCGGCUCAGGUUCCAACACGAGGUCCCAGGCGCUCUCUUCUUGCUUCAGGGGCCUCCUGAAGAGAGAAGGGAGGCUGACCGUAGCUGCGACACCCCCUCAGUGCUGAACAGCAGGCGGGAAGCCCCUCUUGCACCGACUAGACCAGAACGGCAGACAUUUUCCCGACAAGGAAGGGGAGCAAGAUUGAUGUCACAUCAUUCCUGGGCCACACUCAAUUGCACGUGUGUCUUCUCUGUGAGCUGGGGCUAACACCUGAAGUCUUGCAGUCCACACACAACCCUCAUGCUUUGGCUGUGUUCCCAGGUACAGUAUAUACUUUUUGAAGUUUUGAGUGAUCAACUUCACAUUAAUCUAUUCUCCCUCACUCUAUUCUAAUCCUUUUGGCAAGAACCUGUUCCAAGAUAUUCUCCCCUUUUUUGGCCUAUUCAGCUUGAAACAGAAUGAUCAGAGUAUCACUUCCAGUUGAAGCACACUGCUG
Molecule: long non-coding RNA, 950 nt
Filed under: Rhinopithecus bieti (black snub-nosed monkey)
Lineage: Eukaryota; Metazoa; Chordata; Mammalia; Primates; Cercopithecidae
Description: lncRNA (ENSRBIG00000046497.1)
Source: RNAcentral